Nomia melanderi (Alkali bee) is the source of this 848-nucleotide long non-coding RNA. RefSeq lists it as uncharacterized. The record is from RefSeq and is a predicted model, not a curated record. NCBI's taxonomy places the organism in Eukaryota, Metazoa, Arthropoda, Insecta, Hymenoptera, Halictidae.
UUUACCGACAAUCAGUCAUAACGCGAUUAGCAGACGAUAAGGCCGGAAAUAUCGUUGGCUGUAUGCGCGUUACGUAUUUCACGAAGAUGAACGUACUUGGGCCAGAUUGAACACCGAUCGCUGAAUUUUAAUUACUGUAUGUGGAACCUGAGACGACGUUGGAUAUCAAGCUCGUUGAUUUUCCACGCCGAUUACAUCCCCCUUUCUCGAGUGCGUUGCACCUGUUGGAGGCUCAGAAGCAGGAGUUACAUAUUUGUGGUGUAAAGAAGAUACACUGCCUGUCAACAGCACGAUGAUUCGGAAAAUUGGCUUGGCAAAUGACAAGUCGGAAGGCAUAAUCGAGGUGAGUUGGUCGCCAGUGAGGGCUUUAAGUGCUGUCGCCGGUGAAAACUUAUGAACGCGAUUAUGGAAUUUUUUCCGUAAUUCGUCCUCGUCGUUUUUGGCGAAUCAAAGAGGUGGAGAUAGCCCAUCACGCUAUCUCGUGAAACACAAGUAUGGCUAGCCUCGUUCCGAACAAAAAGUGCACAGAACGAGCCCCGAUAAUAGCAUAGAUUAUCAUAGAAAUUAUAGUAAAAUGUUUGAGGGCAUUGGCUGUCCGAAGGUUGCGUGAAACCUGUCUACACAGAUGGAAAAGCAAUCUCGGAAUACUAACUUUGAGUUACACAAGAGGAUUGAGGUGAUGUCCAAAAUGAUUUUAACCGAACAUGAGAACCAUUCAAUCAGUACUUACUUUCCUUUUCGAUAAAAAUUAUAAAUCUUCGAAUUAAUUCGAGAGGAUAUUCUGUUAUUAUCAACCUAUUUACCGAGCGGCUAUUAAUAGGCUUAUAAAACCUCAAAUCAAAAAGAAU